GGCAACGUAGCUCAGCGGUUAGAGCGGGCGCUUCAUAAGCGCUAGGUCAUGGGUUCAAAUCCCUUCGUUGCCACCA
RNAcentral lists this transfer RNA (76 nucleotides) under Chloroflexota bacterium. RNAcentral's name for it is "Chloroflexi bacterium tRNA-Met". It matches the Rfam family "tRNA". Rfam says of the family: Transfer RNA (tRNA) molecules are approximately 80 nucleotides in length. Their secondary structure includes four short double-helical elements and three loops (D, anti-codon, and T loops). The record is from RNAcentral. RNAcentral also lists the same sequence under 2 other names. Lineage: Bacteria; Bacillati; Chloroflexota.